CAAACAUAUCCUCAAAGAGCACUAAAACUCUGGAGGCUGCAACGAGUAUUCUGGCCUGGCCUCGUGACUGAAGUAAGAGAACCAGGAAACAGUUCAUGUAAUACAUAGCUGUCCAGAGGACAGAGCUAGUUAGACCUUUGAAAGCCUAUCCAACUUGGAAAGACUGGGUCUGUUUCAUGCCUGAAGUAUUCAUUUGCACCUUGUCAGACCUUGUAUCCCUGGAUUUAUUUCUUCUGGGUUUUAGCACAAUCCAAAUGUCCACCCCUUUAAUCCUCAUUGGUUAGCUUAGAUAAGCCUUCAUGCUUACCCCUAACUGAUCCUGCUUAGUGCGUGAUCUCCACGGGGCCACCUCUGGGGCUGUGAACUUACUGAUGUCCAUCUUUGUAUUGACGACAAAGUGUGCCUUCUCGUACAAAAAGCCUGUGCCUACUAUUCCCUCGCUGAUGACUUCAGACAAUCUAUAAAGGGAUCUAUCUCAAUUCCUGAAAAGGUUUUCCAUCCUCUGUACCUACUCUCUGGAUUAUAUGGCGCUCCCCAAAGGGGCAAAGGAUGAGAAAGGUAAAUGUAUUCUGUUGGCAUACUCCUGGGCACAUUGGCCAAUGCCUGUAUUGCUUGAGUAGUCACAGGGGAGCA
This 633-nucleotide long non-coding RNA is filed under the name Phascolarctos cinereus (koala). RNAcentral describes it as "lncRNA (ENSPCIG00000024548.2)". The record is from RNAcentral. Lineage: Eukaryota; Metazoa; Chordata; Mammalia; Diprotodontia; Phascolarctidae.